RNAcentral lists this ribosomal RNA (711 nucleotides) under Triticum aestivum (bread wheat). RNAcentral's name for it is "partial small subunit ribosomal RNA". The record is from RNAcentral. Lineage: Eukaryota; Viridiplantae; Streptophyta; Magnoliopsida; Poales; Poaceae.
AUGAGGUUAGGAUUCAACUGCGAUAGUGUAGACAACAACAUGUGUGAGAGCUUUAAUAAGUGGAUUAUGGAAGCUAGAUUCUUUGCUGUUAUUACUAUGCAAGAGACCAUUAGAAGGAAAAUCAUGGUAAGGAUACAAGAGAACAAUGACAAGUGGCCAAAGUGGAGUGGUACUAUCUGUCCAAACAUUAUGAAAAAACUUGAAAAGAUGAUCAAUGAGUCAGCUCAUUGCACUGCCAUAUCUAAUGGCAACAACUGCUUUGAAGUGACACAAAGAGUGCAAUAUAGAUUCAAAGUUGAUUUAACCCAAGGGCGGAUGCACAUUGAGCUCGGUGGGGGCCAAUGCCCCGACUCGAUUUUUGCCCCCCGUAAUACUAGGCCCAUAGUAUACGGCCUUGCCCCCACUCAGCCCAUACUUUUUGCCCCCACUCAUUUAUUUUUUCUGGUUAUUUUACAAACAAAGCCCGUAUGUGAGAAAGAGAAACAAGUCAACCCAUAUGGCUUGGACAUGUAUGAACUACCAGCUUCGCACGAAGCGGAAGUGUCGCCUUCCGCUCGUGAAUCUGGUGAGAAAGAGAAACAAGUCCGGACGCGACCCGCCGCCUGUCUCUCCCGCCCUCGCCAGCUACCUUCAAGCUCUGGUAAUUGCCGAUUCUCCAUUGAUCCAGGUUUGUACACGCUGCCAUUCUUUGCUCCUUGCGCUUUUAAUUAA